RNAcentral lists this small RNA (281 nucleotides) under Otolemur garnettii (small-eared galago). RNAcentral's name for it is "Metazoan signal recognition particle RNA (ENSOGAG00000027282.1)". Lineage: Eukaryota; Metazoa; Chordata; Mammalia; Primates; Galagidae. The record is from RNAcentral.
GCUGGGUGUUAUGGUGGGCACCUGUAGUCCCAGCUCGUUGGGAGGCUGAGGCAAGAGGAUCACUUAAGCCCAGGAGUUGGAGGUUGCUGUGAGCUGUGACACCACAGCACUCUAUCCAGGGCUACAGCUUGAGACUCUGUCUCAAAAAAAAAAAGAAAAAGCAAAGGGAUUGGUGAUCUGAUAAUAUAUCUAAACCCCUCAAGCUAUCCCCCUGGGUAGAGUGCCAUGGCAUCACAGCUUACAGCAACCUCCAACUCCUGGGCUCAAGAAAGUCUCCUGCC